Molecule: ribosomal RNA, 440 nt
Filed under: uncultured bacterium
Lineage: Bacteria
Description: partial 16S ribosomal RNA
Rfam family: Bacterial small subunit ribosomal RNA
Source: RNAcentral
CCUACGGGUGGCUGCAGUGGGGGAUAUUGCACAAUGGGGGAAACCCUGAUGCAGCGACGUCGCGUGAGUGAAGACGUAUCUCGGUAUGUAAAGCUUUAUCAGUAGGGAAGUAAAUGAUAGUACCUGACCAAGAAUCUCUGGCCAACUACGUGCCAGCAGCCGCGGUAAUACGGAGGGGGCAAGCGUUAUCCGGAUUUACUGGGUGUAAAGGGAGCGUAGAGGGUUAUGUAAGUCAGGAGUGAAAGCCCGCGGCCCAACCCCGAGACUGCAUUUGAAACUGUGUAACUGGAGUACAGGAGGGGCAGGCGGAAUUCCUGGUGUAGCGGUGAAAUGCGUAGAUAUCAGGAAGAACACCGACGGCGAAGGUAGCCUACUGGACUGAAACUGACAUUGAGGCUCGAAAGCGUGGGGAGCAAACAGGAUUAGAUACCCUUGUAGUC